This is a long non-coding RNA of Polypterus senegalus (gray bichir), 1111 nucleotides long. RefSeq lists it as uncharacterized. The record is from RefSeq and is a predicted model, not a curated record. The transcript has 5 exons. Lineage: Eukaryota; Metazoa; Chordata; Cladistia; Polypteriformes; Polypteridae.
UUCAAGCCGAGUUAACUUUGUAAACAACACAGAUGCACGUUUUCAUUUGCGAAUAGUAAUCACGAUUCUCUCACUCCUAGCGCAGAUUUGAGAGAUGUAGAACAUUGACAGCCAUGUUACACAUAGGAAGCUGGAGAUUACAUGUGGAGAAACUAGAGCCUUGAGAAAACACCCCUUGAGGACAACGAAGCCAAGGAAGCCCUACCUCUUCUCUUCUGACCAGUAUAAAAGAAAGAUGCUCCUGGCUGGUGGUAUCUCAUUUCGGAGUUGACCACAAUAAUGUACAGACCAAGACUAGAAUGUGAUGUUUUGCCUUGUUGGCACCCCAAGCAUUUGGCUUUUGCCAUGAUUAAUUAUUUUCCUUGCUAUAAUAUAUGUAUAUUUUUAUAUAAACUAGGUACUAAUCAUGCUACCUGUCAAUGACACAUAAUAGAAUGAUUUUAAAAUUAUUUGCUCUCGCUUGCCCUACAUGUACUUUCAGUGCCUUUCCUUAGUUUUCAUGAGUGUCUGAACUUCUCUUGAAUGCCACUUCUUCUCUCGAGUGCAUUCACGUAAAGCCUGUUUCUCACACUCUCAUUAUUUUCACAGUGCCUUGCUCACCUUCUGUCUGGUUUUAUUCUUCCUGUGUUUGAAGACAACUCUCUCAGCAUGUCUCAUAUGCCUUUUCUCUUCCUCGUGUGCAGUUCCUCUUCGAUCACGUCACCAAAGACAAACUGACUAAUCAUAUCACUCUGAGAUUGCAGUCACAGUGGAUUCAUUACAGUCACCAGGCACUCCUACUAUUCGAAGUAUUUUCCAGAAUAUGUUUACAUCCACUACUGCAUUUUGUGACUCCAGAACAGCGCUUGGACAGAUUAUUGCCCAGCAGUUUCCGAGACAGGGGUGUGUACACAGUCAGCGCCCGAAGCAACACCAUCACAGUGUGGAUUUGCAUCCCCAGUACGAGGGUCACCUUUUUAAUAUUGUCUGAAACAGAAUAAACAGUAAUACUGUAUCUGCUGUACUGUACGAUUUUCUGAACUUGAACUUUUGAUUGCCUCUACCACAUUUUGCCACUCCACUGUUUAAGCCACCAAAUAGUACAUUUUUCCGUGCCUCCACUUCACUGAGC